UGGGAACGUGCCCAAAGGUACGGAACAACUCCGGGAAACUGGAGCUAAUACCGUAUGUGCCCGAAAGGGGAAAGAUUCAUCGCCUUUGGAUCGGCCCGCGUCUGAUUAGCUAGUUGGCGGGGUAAUGGCUCACCAAGGCGACGACGGGUAGCCGGCCUGAGAGGGUGACCGGCCACACUGGGACUGAGACACGGCCCAGACUCCUACGGGAGGCAG
RNAcentral lists this ribosomal RNA (216 nucleotides) under uncultured bacterium. RNAcentral describes it as "partial 16S ribosomal RNA". It matches the Rfam family "Bacterial small subunit ribosomal RNA", at positions 118 to 351 of the family's 1533-position model. The record is from RNAcentral.